This 253-nucleotide ribosomal RNA is filed under the name uncultured bacterium. RNAcentral describes it as "partial 16S ribosomal RNA". It matches the Rfam family "Bacterial small subunit ribosomal RNA", at positions 524 to 776 of the family's 1533-position model. The record is from RNAcentral.
UACAGAGGUCUCAAGCGUUGUUCGGAUUCAUUGGGCGUAAAGCGCACGUAGGCGGUCUGUUAUGUCGGAUGUGAAAGCCCUUGGCUUAACUGAGGAAGUGCAUCCGAAACUGGCAGGCUAGAGUACUAAAGAGGGUCGCGGAAUUCCCGGUGUAGAGGUGAAAUUCGUAGAUAUCGGGAGGAACACCGGUGGCGAAGGCGGCGACCUGGGCCUGUCCUGACGCUCAGGCGCGAAAGCUAGGGGAGCGAACAGG